UAUUGUGCUUUCAGGCCCACAUGCCUGC
This 28-nucleotide non-coding RNA is filed under the name Mus musculus (house mouse). The record is from RNAcentral. Lineage: Eukaryota; Metazoa; Chordata; Mammalia; Rodentia; Muridae.